Dreissena polymorpha is the source of this 1304-nucleotide long non-coding RNA. RefSeq lists it as uncharacterized. NCBI's taxonomy places the organism in Eukaryota, Metazoa, Mollusca, Bivalvia, Myida, Dreissenidae. The record is from RefSeq and is a predicted model, not a curated record. The transcript is spliced from 5 exons.
UAGGCAGGUUUAUCUUAACAUAACAAGAGUUUAUCAGUUUAAUAUGUUCAAAGCUCCAUUAUGUUAGACUAACUAGAGGCUUACAAUUACUACUACAAAUGUGUAUUUAAUUGAAAACGUUUUAGUAACAUAUCAACAAGUUAAUAACAGUGAUAUAUAACUAUUUCAUGUGAAUAAAAGGUACAUAAAAACAUACAGAUAACAGGAAGUAAUGCACACCUCUCAACAAAAUGGGGACAGCUUUAAGUUCAGUUCAUAAAGGUUCAGAUUUUGUGAAGGACUAUUGUUGUGAUGCUUGUGAAAGUAAACAGAUGGUAGAAACUGCAGAGAUUUACUGUGAAAUAUGUCUGAAGUGUUUUUGUGGAAAUUGCAUUAAUUAUCAUGGUCAAUUAUAUGCUAACCAUGUCAUAUAUGGGAGAAAAGACAAGAAGAAAUGGUCUCUUACUAAGAAAAUGGCAAACUUUAUACAGUCAUGUGAUGCCCACACAGACAAGAAACUAGAAAUAUUUUGUGAGGACCAUAGUAAACUGUUCUGCAGUAAUUGUGCUUUCCUAAAACACAGUGUGGAAGUGUGCUGUGAGUCCAACUGGUGGCAGGAUCUAUGUCACUUACAAAUUCAAGGACAAGCUCCCUAUACUGUCAACAGAUGGGACGCUGAUAUCCACCUUCACUGAUCCUGAACUAUAAUGUCCAUUUGGAGUGCAUGUAACACCUACCGGUCAGGUCCUUGUGUGUGGGUUCAACUUCCACACUGUCAUACAGGUGGAUGGAGAGGGCAAAAGAAAGCUGGCUACUCUUGCUACACAAAAAGAUGAAUUGCACUACCCAGCAUCUGUUUGCUACUACAGCAACACUAACAAAGUCAUUGUGGGAGGAUUUAAUAACACCAAAAUCCUUACACUCAAACUGCUAUAGCCACCAUUUGUAUUUUACAUAUAACAACAUCAUUGUUCAUACUACCUUUCCAGUAGUGUCAUGUGUAUUCAGGUGGACAGUAAAAGCAUGCCUAUUUUAACAGUUUAACUCUCCAUAAUUCCAGGUUGUACUCAAUUGUCUGACAGUUCAACUCUCCAUAAUUCCAGGUUGUACUCAAUUGUCUGACAGUUCAACUCUCCAUAAUUCCAGGUUGUACUCAAUUGUCUGACAGUUCAACUCUCCAUAAUUCCAGGUUGUACUCAAUUGUCUGACAGUUCAACUCUCCAUAAUUCCAGGUUGUACUCAAUUGUCUGAUAUGAACAGUUCAGUUCUAUGAGCAGUUUUUUUUCUUAUAUCAGAGUUUAUUCCUUUAGUAAAAUCGAAAUGUG